CACAGCCCAUGGAUACUACCAAUUGGGUGGUUUAGUGAGGCCCUCAGCUUGGCCCUGCAGGGGUCUGCCCAUGGCCCUGGCUGAGUGCUGAGAAGAAGUCGAACUUCACUAUCUAGAGGAAGUAAAAGUCCCAACAAGGUUUCUGUAGGUGAACCUGCAGAAG
This 163-nucleotide non-coding RNA is filed under the name Cricetulus griseus (Chinese hamster). Its description in RNAcentral is "Eukaryotic small subunit ribosomal RNA". It matches the Rfam family "Eukaryotic small subunit ribosomal RNA", at positions 1667 to 1823 of the family's 1831-position model. The record is from Rfam by way of RNAcentral. Lineage: Eukaryota; Metazoa; Chordata; Mammalia; Rodentia; Cricetidae.